UUAUUCCUUUUUUCGGCCUGACUCUCCACCUCCAGCACUUGGGGAUGAAUAUUUACUUGUUUCUGAUUCUUUUUGGUGUAGUCACACUUCCAAGCAAUUAUGUUGCACUUUUUGCACUGAAUCACCUGGGCCGUCGAGUCAGCCUGAUGCUUUUCCUGUUCUUGCUGGGAAUUUCCAUUCUGACCAUCACAUUUGUGCCCGAAGAAAUGCAGACCCUGCGUGUGGUUUUGGCAACUUUGGGAGUAGGAUUUUCUUCUGCCGCUCUCACCAAUUUUGUUACCUAUGGAAAUGAACUAAUCCCCACUGUAAUCAGAGCAAUAGCUUUAGGAAUCAUUGGAAUUGCUGGUAAUAUCGGGGCAGCCCUGGCUCCCCUCUUGAUGAUCUUAAUGGUG
Ceratotherium simum simum (southern white rhinoceros) is the source of this 392-nucleotide non-coding RNA. The record is from RefSeq and is a predicted model, not a curated record. Lineage: Eukaryota; Metazoa; Chordata; Mammalia; Perissodactyla; Rhinocerotidae.